RNAcentral lists this long non-coding RNA (747 nucleotides) under Homo sapiens (human). RNAcentral's name for it is "HOX transcript antisense RNA". The record is from RNAcentral. Lineage: Eukaryota; Metazoa; Chordata; Mammalia; Primates; Hominidae.
GCAGAAACAUUAUGAAAAUCAAUUGCAGAUUUGUAUUCGUUUUUCUCUCGUCACUCCCCUUCUCUCCAUACCACAGCACGAGCAAAGGAGGAGAGAGAGGGUUGGGGUGGGGUGGGCGGUGGGAUGGGCGAGGGUGGUGGCUGGGAAGGGGUAAUUGUAUUUUUUUCUAGCUGCUGCUCUUUUUUCCCCCAGGAUUGGGGGAAGGAGGAGGGCUCUCAUGUAUGGGGGUCUUGCCUCCUCUCUGUGAGCAGCACCAGGAGGGUGGGAGUGAGGACUUCUUUCCCCACUGCCUGAUUUCCCCAGAGAAGUGAAUCCUUUCCCUUAAAUCUCAGGGACUCUUACCCUUCCAACCCGCAGAGACACCGCCUGUUCACAAGAGUUUGAAGAAGUCCACUCUUUUCCUGGCCAGAGCUGGGUGUCAAGACUACCUUUCUGGAGUCCUUAGAGAGACUCCCGGAAGAGUAUCUGAAGUUUCCCAAAGCCUCCAGGCCCUGCCUUCUGCCUGCACAUUCUGCCCUGAUUUCCGGAACCUGGAAGCCUAGGCAGGCAGUGGGGAACUCUGACUCGCCUGUGCUCUGGAGCUUGAUCCGAAAGCUUCCACAGUGAGGACUGCUCCGUGGGGGUAAGAGAGCACCAGGCACUGAGGCCUGGGAGUUCCACAGACCAACACCCCUGCUCCUGGCGGCUCCCACCCGGGACUUAGACCCUCAGGUCCCUAAUAUCCCGGAGGUGCUCUCAAUCAGAAAG